This is a non-coding RNA of Phrynosoma platyrhinos (Desert horned lizard), 72 nucleotides long. The record is from the annotation of a GenBank genome assembly. Lineage: Eukaryota; Metazoa; Chordata; Lepidosauria; Squamata; Phrynosomatidae.
GCCAGCAUGGUGUAGUGGUUUGAGUGUUGGACUACGACUCCAGAGAAAAGGGUUUGAUUCCCUGCUCAGCCG